This 363-nucleotide ribosomal RNA is filed under the name Triticum aestivum (bread wheat). RNAcentral describes it as "partial small subunit ribosomal RNA". Lineage: Eukaryota; Viridiplantae; Streptophyta; Magnoliopsida; Poales; Poaceae. The record is from RNAcentral.
AUGACCAUGCUUGGGAUGGCGCUCGGUGCCAGCCACACCGUGGGUGCGCCAGACGGGUCGUGGGACCUUCAGACAAACUACUCCCGGUGGGUUUCGAGAAUUAGGUUCACCACCGGCGAUGAGCUCAAGUUCCAGUACUCCGCUGUCGUGCACAACAUGGUGGAGGUGAGCAAGACGGGAUGUGACUCCUGCAACGGUUCCAGCCCCAUAGCAACUUUUCCGACCGGUAAUGAUGUUGUUCCGCUUGCCACUGUCGGGACCCGAUAUUUCAUCUGCGGCAUCUCCGGGCACUGUGACGCCGGCAUGAAGGUCGAGGUCAACGUCAAGUCGAAAGAAGUGCGGACAGUGAAGCGGUGCCGAUGA